CCUACGGGUGGCAGCAGUGGGGAAUAUUGCACAAUGGGCGAAACCCUGACGCAGCGACGCCGCGUGAGUGAAGAAGUAUUUCGGUUUGUAAACCUCUAUCAGCAGGGAAGAAAAUGACGGUACCUGAUUAAGAAGCCCCGGCUAACUACGUGCCAGCAGCCACGGUCAUACGUAGGGGGCGCGCGUUAUCCGGAUUUACUGGGUGUAAAGGGAGCGUAGACGGCAGCGCAAGUCUGAAGUGAAAUACCCGGGCUUAACCCCGGAACUGCUUUGGAAACUGUGCAGCUAGAGUGCAGGAGAGGUAAGUGGAAUUCCUGGUGUAGCGGUGAAAUGCGUAGAUAUUAGGAGGAACACCAGUGGCGAAGGCGGCUUACUGGACCGUAACUGACGCUGAGGCGCGAAAGCGUGGGGAGCAAACAGGAUUAGAUACCCUUGUAGUC
Molecule: ribosomal RNA, 440 nt
Filed under: uncultured bacterium
Lineage: Bacteria
Description: partial 16S ribosomal RNA
Rfam family: Bacterial small subunit ribosomal RNA
Source: RNAcentral